This is a long non-coding RNA of Oncorhynchus kisutch (coho salmon), 385 nucleotides long. RefSeq lists it as uncharacterized. NCBI's taxonomy places the organism in Eukaryota, Metazoa, Chordata, Actinopteri, Salmoniformes, Salmonidae. The record is from RefSeq and is a predicted model, not a curated record. The transcript has 3 exons.
AGACCCUCUUCUCUUUGUAUACUGCCUGGCCGUAGCAUUGGCCUUUGCGUUUAUCUUGAUCAUUCUCCUUGCCUGCAUCAUUUACAAGAUGAAGAAGACAACAUGUCUGCAGUGCAGUGAACUGGUCUCUCAGACAAGAGGUCCUUCAGUUUCCCGGUCAGAUGCAAGUAGCCAAGAUGCAGACAGUCUCCAUUACGUAGCUCUGCCUCUGAGCAACAAGAAGAACAGGUCUAGAAGACAGAGAGGAAACAUGGAGGAAGAGACGGUGGUCAUGUACUCUGGAAUUAGACAGUAGAACUGGAUGAAUGAAACCAUUUCCCCUUCAUACUAGAUAACUCUUUAACUAGCUCUAGCUUCGUUAGCUAUUUCUUUGAAUGGAUAUGCU